AUGGCCCACUGGGCUACAUUAGAGACUGGGAUAAUGGCCCCACUGGGCUACAUUAGAGACUGGGAUAAUGGCCCCACUGGGCUACAUUAGAGACUGGGAUAAUGGCCCCACUGGGCUACAUUAGAGACUGGGAUAAUGGCCCCACUGGGCUACAUUAGAGACUGGGAUAAUGGCCCACUGGGCUACUUUAGAGACUGGGAUAAUGGCCCCACUGGGCUACAUUAGAGACUGGGAUAAUGGCCCCACUGGGCUACAUUAGAGACUGGGCUAAUGGCCCCACUGGGCUACAUUAGAGACUGGGAUAAUGGCCCCACUGGGCUACCUUAAAGACUGGGAUAAUGGCCCCACUGGGCUACCUUAGAGACUGGGAUAAUGGCCCCACUGGGCUACCUUAGAGACUGGGAUAAUGGCCCCACUGGGCUACCUUAGAGACUGGGAUAAUGGCCCCACUGGGCUACCUUAGAGACUGGGAUAAUGGCCCUAAUGGGCUACAUUAGAGACUGGGAUAAUGGCCCUACUGGGCUACCUUAGAGACUGGGAUAAUGGCCCCACUGGGCUACAUUAGAGACUGGGAUAAUGGCCCUCAUGGGCUACAUUAGAGACUGGGAUAAUGGCCCUACUGGGCUACCGUAGAGACUGGGAUAAUGGCCCCACUGGGCUACCGUAGAGACUGGGAUAAUAUCCCCACUGGAAUACAUUAGAGACUGGGAUAAUGGCCCCAAUGGGCUAUCUUAGAGACUGGGAAAAUGGCCCUACUGGGCUACCUUAGAGACUGGGAUAAUGGCCCCACUGGGCUACAUUGGAGACUGGGAUAAUGGCCCUCAUGGGCUACAUUAGAGACUGGGGAAAUGGCCCUACUGGGCUACCUUAGAGACUGGGAUAAUGGCCCUAAUGGGCUACAUUAGAGACUGUGAUAAUGGCCCUAAUGGCCUACCUUAGAGACUGGGAUAAUGGCCCCACUGGGCUACAUUAGAGACUGGGAUAAUGGCCCCACUGGGCUACCUUAAAGACUGGGAUAAUGGCCCCACUGGGCUACCUUAGAGACUGGGAUAAUGGCCCCACUGGGCUACAUUAGAGACUGGGAUAAUGGCCCUAAUGGGCUACCUUAGAGACUGGGAUAAUGGCCCCACUGGGCUACAUUAGAGACUGGGAUAAUGGCCCCACUGGGCUACCUUAAAGACUGGGAUAAUGGCCCCACUGGGCUACCUUAGAGACUGGGAUAAUGGCCCCACUGGGCUACAUUAGAGACUGGGAUAAUGGCCCCAAUGGGCUACCUUAGAGACUGGGAUAAUGGCCCCACUGGGCUACAUUAGAGACUGGGAUAAUGGCCCCACUGGGCUACCUUAAAGACUGGGAUAAUGGCCCCACUGGGCUACCUUAGAGACUGGGAUAAUGGCCCCACUGGGCUACAUUAGAGACUGGGAUAAUGGCCCCACUGGGCUACCGUAGAGACUGGGAUAAUAUCCCCACUGGGCUACAUUAGAGACUGGGAUAAUGGCCCCACUGGGCUACAUUAGAGACUGGGAUAAUGGCCCCACUGUGAUACCUUAGAGAUGGGAUAAUGGCCCUAACGGGCUACAUUAGAGACUGUGAUAAUGGCCCUACUGGGCUACAUUAGAGACUGGGAUAAUGGCCCCACUGGGCUACAUUAGAGACUGGGAUAAUGGCCCUACAGAACAGUUUGUAAUUGAGCAUGUUAAUCUCCCACCAUGUCUGAAUAAUGCUGUAAUAUCUUAUAGAUACUCCUCUGAGUCCCAAAUGGCACCCUAUUCCCUUUAGAGUGCACUACUUUUGUGAGGCACACCGAGUCUCUGCAAAGUCUGCCUCUUGUUGUUGGAAGCAAAUAUUCUCCACAAUCCCCAUGUUAUCAUUAAUCCGUCUCUACCUCGUAGGAAAGCCUGUAAAAUCUUCUGGAUUCCAAUUGGAUUCACUAGAAGGAGCUGGUGGAAAGGACUAAAGUUCCUUCUCGACCGGGAACCCCCGUCAAAGGGGUUUUCCUCCCUCUCCACUGACACACUCAAGCUUGAUCUGACGGGCAGAUUUGCAUAGUUUCAGAGAGGUGUGAUGGCAAAUGGCACCCUAGGUCAAAAUUAGUGCUUAUAUAGGGAAUAGGGUGAGUAGUGCAUUAUAUAGGGUAUAGGGUGAGUAGUGCAUUAUAUAGGGCCUUCAAACUCAACUCCGGAUCUCCAAGACAGUUUCACUGCAUUAUUUCAUUGUUCCCUGAUUUAGACCUGGAACACCAGGUGGGUGAUUCCCCUUUAAUCAGGGACUGAUUUAGACCUGGGACACCAGGUGGGUGAUUCCCCUUUAAUCAGGGACUGAUUUAGACCUGGGACACCAGGUGGGUGAUUCCCCUUUAAUCAGGGACUGAUUUAGACCUGGGACACCAGGUGGGUGAUUCCCCUUUAAUCAGGGACUGAUUUAGACCUGGGACACCAGGUGGGUGAUUCCCCUUUAAUCAGGGACUGGUUUAGACCUGGAACACCAGGUGGGUGAUUCCCCUCUAAUCAGGGACUGAUUUAGACCUGGGACACCAGGUGGGUGAUUCCCCUUUAAUCAGGGACUGAUUUAGACCUGGGACACUCAACCAUGCACUCUGAAAGCUCCUUUUUAAAUGAACCUCCCCUGGGUCACACCACAGUGUCAAACUUUAACCCCAAAACUCUUCUCAGUUUUCACACAUUCAUUCUCAUCCCUGACUGUUGCUUUUCUCCACUCCUUUGGUAAAUUAGUAUCCCUUGAAACCAUUGUGUUGUGUUCACACCUGGAUCCCAUUGACUUCUGCAUACAGGCCAACGAGGCUGUGCCUCUGGGAGUGACUGCAGUAAAACACAAUUACAACCAGCUUUAAGCCGUUUACUCAGCUCCCUGCACCCCUCACACACACACACACACACACACACACACACACACACACACACACACACACACACACACACACACACACACACACACACACACACACACACACACACACACACACACACACACACACACACACACACACACACACACA
Oncorhynchus keta (chum salmon) is the source of this 3016-nucleotide long non-coding RNA. RefSeq lists it as uncharacterized. The transcript has 2 exons. The record is from RefSeq and is a predicted model, not a curated record. NCBI's taxonomy places the organism in Eukaryota, Metazoa, Chordata, Actinopteri, Salmoniformes, Salmonidae.